GACGAACGCUGGCGGCGUGCCUAAUACAUGCAAGUCGAGCGGACCGGAUUGGGGCUUGCCUUGAUUCGGUCAGCGGCGGACGGGUGAGUAACACGUGGGCAACCUGCCCGCAAGACCGGGAUAACUCCGGGAAACCGGAGCUAAUACCGGAUAACACCGAAGACCGCAUGGUCUUCGGUUGAAAGGCGGCCUUUGGGCUGUCACUUGCGGAUGGGCCCGCGGCGCAUUAGCUAGUUGGUGAGGUAACGGCUCACCAAGGCGACGAUGCGUAGCCGGCCUGAGAGGGUGACCGGCCACACUGGGACUGAGACACGGCCCAGACUCCUACGGGAGGCAGCAGUAGGGAAUCUUCCGCAAUGGGCGAAAGCCUGACGGAGCGACGCCGCGUGAGCGAAGAGGGCCUUCGGGUCGUAAAGCUCUGUUGUGAGGGACGAAGGAGCGUCGUUCGAAGAGGGCGGCGCGGUGACGGUACCUCACGAGAAAGCCCCGGCUAACUACGUG
This 501-nucleotide ribosomal RNA is filed under the name uncultured bacterium. RNAcentral's name for it is "partial 16S ribosomal RNA". It matches the Rfam family "Bacterial small subunit ribosomal RNA", at positions 28 to 507 of the family's 1533-position model. The record is from RNAcentral.